Sander lucioperca (pikeperch) is the source of this 564-nucleotide long non-coding RNA. RefSeq lists it as uncharacterized. NCBI's taxonomy places the organism in Eukaryota, Metazoa, Chordata, Actinopteri, Perciformes, Percidae. The transcript has 3 exons. The record is from RefSeq and is a predicted model, not a curated record.
GAAAGGAAUGCUCUAUAUGUUGUGGUUGCUUUCCAUCAGAUGACAUUGCUCUGCAUGGAAGCUUGUGUGGUGAAAGUCCACAGGAUACUCCUGACUACAAUUCCGACUUCUGUCCCACUUCAGGCCCUACUAGUAGUGUGCUAUGCGAGGGAAGCGUGCCUUUGGCUGAUAUAUCUAGUGAAGAUGAUAUCCUCCAGUUGCUUGCAAAUCAAGUAGAUGCAAGCAAAGAUUUUAAGAUUUGCAUCACCCGAGAUGACCUUGUCCAAAGAGGCUUCAUUCAGUGGCAAAGACAAAAGAAGGGCUCCCCUGUCAACAAACUCAAUGUGACUUUCAUUGGAGAAGCAGGAAUUGAAACUGGUACAUUAAGCAAAGAAUUUUUGACGGGUAAUGUACUGAAACUUCAGAAGUACAGGUUCAGUUACAGUUUGAGUUAUUUCCUUAAUUGUGUUGUCUUCAUUUGUUAUAUUUACAAAUUAUAAAUGGCAUUUAGAGGCGACUGUUCAAGGGCAAUGGCAUAAAGGGAAAGAGUCCUGUCUACUCCAUAAGUGACGUAGAAAAUGGUUU